This is a non-coding RNA of Tulasnella sp. 332, 103 nucleotides long. The record is from the annotation of a GenBank genome assembly. NCBI's taxonomy places the organism in Eukaryota, Fungi, Basidiomycota, Agaricomycetes, Cantharellales, Tulasnellaceae.
UCUUCAAUGGUAUAAUGGUAGAACUCACGCCUGUCAAGCAAGGAAUGCAUUCCUUUGAUUGAAUGGUUCGCGUGCGACCUGGGUUCGAUUCCCAGUUGGAGAG